This 386-nucleotide long non-coding RNA is filed under the name Brassica rapa (field mustard). RNAcentral describes it as "long non-coding RNA (BRAP_LNC005568)". The record is from RNAcentral. Lineage: Eukaryota; Viridiplantae; Streptophyta; Magnoliopsida; Brassicales; Brassicaceae.
ACAAAUCAAACAAAAAAAAAUUCAAGAUUUUGUAUAUUUUUAUUCUAAUGUGUAAUAUUCAUUCAAUAAAAGAUUGGUAUUACAUCAAAUCGACUUGCUUAAAAAAAAAUAGAAAAUGCAUGACUAAUAUAUGACACUGGAUUUAUAUUCAAUAUUAUCAAUAUUAUUAACUGAAGUUGAUUGACUACCGGCUAAUUCACGCUGGUUCACAAUUUUUUAAGAACCUCUGGUUCAGAUCUUUGACAAGGGUAAGAGUGUGUGGCUUAGACCACUAGACUAAUGACAAAAUAAUCCAACGGUAGUAAAAGCAAUCGCAUUGAAGAGUUUUAGGGGAGGUUCACACGCAAAUUGAAAAAAAAAAUUAUUAUAAUAAACAACAGCGAAGA